RNAcentral lists this unclassified non-coding RNA (390 nucleotides) under uncultured fungus. RNAcentral's name for it is "sequence contains ITS1". The stretch from base 1 to 105 matches the Rfam family "5.8S ribosomal RNA", at positions 50 to 154 of the family's 154-position model. Lineage: Eukaryota; Fungi. The record is from RNAcentral.
GAAAUGCGAUAAGUAAUGUGAAUUGCAGAAUUCAGUGAAUCAUCGAAUCUUUGAACGCACAUUGCGCUCCUUGGUAUUCCGAGGAGCAUGCCUGUUUGAGUGUCAUGAAACCCUCAAACCCAAGUUUUUGAUUUCGAUCCAUGUUAUAGUAUGGAUUUGGAUGUUUGACGUUGAUGAACCGACUCAUCUUAAAAGUAUUAGCUUGGAUCUGUCUAUAUGACUUGUUUGACUUGGCAUAAUAAGUAUUUUGCUGAGGACAUCUUCGGAUGGCUAGGACCUAGACUACUGUCUGCUAACUAAACCAUCACUUUAAGUGCAUCUUUGGAUGUUACUCAUUGUGUAACUUUGACAUCUGGCCUCAAAUCAAGUAGGACUACCCGCUGAACUUAA